This is a long non-coding RNA of Vicia villosa (hairy vetch), 1445 nucleotides long. RefSeq lists it as uncharacterized. Lineage: Eukaryota; Viridiplantae; Streptophyta; Magnoliopsida; Fabales; Fabaceae. The transcript is spliced from 4 exons. The record is from RefSeq and is a predicted model, not a curated record.
CCUCACAAAGUUUCUUUAAUAUUUCCUUUUCAUCUCCAUCUCCCCCACGUCCUCAUUCUCUCUACUUUCCACUUUGCCUCCCACACUUGCUUAUUCACUGAAGAAAAAACAAAAAAUUCACAGAAUCGUUAACCCAACAAUUUGCAAUCGUAUAAGCUUUAUCGUUCGUUCCUUCUAAGCCUUUCGCAAUUUGUAAUCGUUCGUUUCAAGCCUUCUCCCAAGUGUUGGACGUGGUGUUACUAGCUAACAAUCAUAUAAGCUUUAAAGUUUCUAUUAAUACUCUUUCUGUCUCCGGCGACGGUGGAGUUUAGGUCUUUUCUCUCGGAUGGAUGCAAAAUAAGAUAGCUCGAGUUGAACUGAUACAAUGAAUUGACAUUGGCCUUGAAGUGUUUUGGCUUGCUCUUUACUUUGUUGCUAUAGCCACUCUUGCUGCACUUGUUGGGCAACAUUUGGUGAUCGUCUCUCUUCUGGGGUAGCUAUCAUUCUGUCUACUAUAACCUCCCUUUUUGUUGAUAGUGAGUUGUAUUUAUUUUGUUCUGUAAGUAUUUCUCUAGUCCUCUUAAAAUAUGUUUUCUUUUACUAUUUCAAUAAUAUUAAUAAGACCCGAAAAUGUAUUUAUCAAUGGAUGUAGUUAAAACUCUAAUUCAGAAAAAUUGCAAAUUCUACACGGAGAUAAAAAUUUAUCUUUAAAAUCAGAUUUUCUUUAAUAUUUAGAAUAAUAUAAUUAUAUUGUUUUUAUUAUAUAUGUUGCUAUUUGCGUUGUGAAAGUUACAUGGUAUCUCAAAAUAUUUGCCACGUGAAAUUCACCUGGAAAGUUUUUGAAUAUUCAAAUAUUGCUAGGUGAAACUCACCCCGCAAGUCACUUAACAUACAACUGUACCCUGCUCUGAACUAACUGUGCACAUGGAAUGAAGUUGUCUGCAAGUCUUGGAAAGCGUGUUUGCGGGGUGCUUUUUAUCUGGAAACGUUGCGGGGUGAAAAUCACCUGGCAAAGUUGCGGGGUGCUAAUCCCCUUGCAAAAAGUUACGACUAACGUUUUUGCAAGGUGAGAGUGUCACCUCGCAAGUGUUACGUUGCAGGGUGAUAUUUGUCUUUGCGGGGUGGUUUGCACCUGGCAAACAUGAGUUUUUUUGUAGUGCUUUGAAUGCGAAUAAAUUUCUUUAUAAAUGAAAAUGGUGUUUCAAACGUACAUUUCUCAUAUACUCGUUUCUCAACACGCUUAGAUACUUUGAGUAAUUUGAGUACACUACAAUGUUGAACACACAGAAAACUUAAUACUAAGACCCCUAUUUAUACUAAUUCAACUAUAAUGGUCAUCUGUUCAGAAGAUGGCACGUUUAUGUCUGCAUGCACUUCGUCUCUUACAAGUCUCCACACGUCCUUUAUAAUGAACGGAUAAGGCCAAAAUACAGUUUCUGGCCAAUUUCGAAUGUUUCUGUGUCGGA